GUCGAGCGGAACGAUGGGAGCUUGCUCCCAGGCGUCGAGCGGCGGACGGGUGAGUAACACGUGGGAAUCUGCCCAUUAGUGGGGGAUAACUCGGGGAAACUCGAGCUAAUACCGCAUAAUCCCUACGGGGGAAAGCAGGGGAUCUUCGGACCUUGCGCUGAUGGAUGAGCCCGCGUCGGAUUAGCUUGUUGGUGGGGUAAUGGCCCACCAAGGCGACGAUCCGUAACUGGUCUGAGAGGAUGGCCAGUCACACCGGGACUGAGACACGGCCCGGACUCCUACGGGAGGCAGCAGUGGGGAAUCUUGGACAAUGGGCGCAAGCCUGAUCCAGCCAUGCCGCGUGUGUGAAGAAGGCCUUCGGGUUGUAAAGCACUUUCAGUAGGGAGGAAGGCUUUGGGCUAAUACCCUGGAGUACUUGACGUUACCUACAGAAGAAGCACCGGCUAAUUUCGUGCCAGCAGCCGCGGUAAUACGAAAGGUGCGAGCGUUAAUCGGAAUUACUGGGCGUAAAGCGCGCGUAGGCGGUGUGUUAACUCUGAUGUGAAAUCCCUUGGCUCAACCUUGGAAUUGCAUCCGAGACUGGCACGCUAUGAGUGCAGUAGAGGGA
Molecule: ribosomal RNA, 607 nt
Filed under: Alloalcanivorax dieselolei
Lineage: Bacteria; Pseudomonadati; Pseudomonadota; Gammaproteobacteria; Oceanospirillales; Alcanivoracaceae
Description: bacterial SSU rRNA
Rfam family: Bacterial small subunit ribosomal RNA
Source: RNAcentral